GACAGCAGUAGCCACGGUAAUACAGAGGGUGCGAGCGUUAAUCGGAUUUACUGGGCGUAAAGCGUGCGUAGGCGGCUUCUUAAGUCGGAUGUGAAAUCCCUGAGCUUAACUUAGGAAUUGCAUUCGAUACUGGGAAGCUAGAGUAUGGGAGAGGAUGGUAGAAUUCCAGGUGUAGCGGUGAAAUGCGUAGAGAUCUGGAGGAAUACCGAUGGCGAAGGCAGCCAUCUGGCCUAAUACUGACGCUGAGGUACGAAAGCAUGGGGAGCAAACAGGAUUAGAUACCCGUGUAGUCCCUGUCUCUUAUAC
Molecule: ribosomal RNA, 306 nt
Filed under: uncultured bacterium
Lineage: Bacteria
Description: partial 16S ribosomal RNA
Rfam family: Bacterial small subunit ribosomal RNA
Source: RNAcentral